This 497-nucleotide ribosomal RNA is filed under the name uncultured bacterium. RNAcentral describes it as "partial 16S ribosomal RNA". It matches the Rfam family "Bacterial small subunit ribosomal RNA", at positions 28 to 507 of the family's 1533-position model. The record is from RNAcentral.
GAUGAACGCUGGCGGCGUGCCUAAUACAUGCAAGUCGAGCGAACAGAUGAGGAGCUUGCUCCUCUGACGUUAGCGGCGGACGGGUGAGUAACACGUGGAUAACCUACCUAUAAGACUGGGAUAACUUCGGGAAACCGGAGCUAAUACCGGAUAAUAUAUUGAACCGCAUGGUUCAAUAGUGAAAGACGGUUUUGCUGUCACUUAUAGAUGGAUCCGCGCCGCAUUAGCUAGUUGGUAAGGUAACGGCUUACCAAGGCAACGAUGCGUAGCCGACCUGCGAGGGUGAUCGGCCACACUGGAACGGAGACACGGUCCAGACUCCUACGGGACGCAGCAGUAGGGAAUCUGCCGCAAUGGGCGAAAGCCUGACGGAGCAACGCCGCGUGAGUGAUGAAGGUCUUCGGAUCGUAAAACUCUGUUAUUAGGGAAGAACAAAUGUGUAAGUAACUAUGCACGUCUUGACGGUACCUAAUCAGAAAGCCACGGCUAACUACGUG